UACAGAGGGUGCAAGCGUUACUCGGAAUUACUGGGCGUAAAGCGCACGCAGGCGGUUGGUUAAGUCAGAUGUGAAAGCCCCGGGCUCAACCUGGGAAUUGCAUUUGAAACUGGGGAACUAGAGUGUGUGAGAGGGGGGUAGAAUUCCAAGUGUAGCGGUGAAAUGCGUAGAGAUUUGGAGGAAUACCAGUGGCGAAGGCGGCCCCCUGGCACAACACUGACGCUCAGGUGCGAAAGCGUGGGGAGCAAACAGG
Molecule: ribosomal RNA, 253 nt
Filed under: uncultured bacterium
Lineage: Bacteria
Description: partial 16S ribosomal RNA
Rfam family: Bacterial small subunit ribosomal RNA
Source: RNAcentral